GAUCAUGGCUCAGGAUGAACGCUGGCGGCGUGCUUAACACAUGCAAGUCGAACGAUUGAAGCUGGAGCUUGCUCCGGCCGAUUUAGUGGCGGACGGGUGAGUAACGCGUGGGUAACCUGCCUCAUACAGGGGGAUAGCAGUUGGAAACGACUGGUAAAACCGCAUAAGCGCACGGUGUCGCAUGACACAGUGUGAAAACACUCCGGUGGUAUGAGAUGGACCCGCGUCUGAUUAGCUAGUUGGUGAGGUAACGGCCCACCAAGGCGACGAUCAGUAGCCGGCCUGAGAGGGUGAACGGCCACAUUGGGACUGAGACACGGCCCAAACUCCUACGGGAGGCAGCAGUGGGGAAUAUUGCACAAUGGGGGAAACCCUGAUGCAGCGACGCCGCGUGAGUGAUGAAGUAUUUCGGUAUGUAAAGCUCUAUCAGCAGGGAAGAUAAUGACGGUACCUGACUAAGAAGCACCGGCUAAAUACGUG
This 480-nucleotide ribosomal RNA is filed under the name uncultured bacterium. Its description in RNAcentral is "bacterial SSU rRNA". It matches the Rfam family "Bacterial small subunit ribosomal RNA", at positions 15 to 507 of the family's 1533-position model. The record is from RNAcentral.